This 253-nucleotide ribosomal RNA is filed under the name uncultured bacterium. RNAcentral describes it as "partial 16S ribosomal RNA". It matches the Rfam family "Bacterial small subunit ribosomal RNA", at positions 524 to 776 of the family's 1533-position model. The record is from RNAcentral.
UACGUAGGGGGCAAGCGUUGUCCGGAAUCAUUGGGCGUAAAGCGUGCGCAGGCGGUUUUGUAAGCCAGAUGUGAAAGCCCCGGGCUCAACCUGGGAAUGGCAUUUGGGACUGCAAGGCUGGAGUUUGGCAGAGGAGACUGGAAUUCCUGGUGUAGCAGUGAAAUGCGUAGAUAUCAGGAGGAAUACCGAUGGCGAAGGCAGGUCUCUGGGCUAUAACUGACGCUCAUGCACGAAAGCGUGGGGAGCAAACAGG